Molecule: ribosomal RNA, 164 nt
Filed under: Cenchrus advena
Lineage: Eukaryota; Viridiplantae; Streptophyta; Magnoliopsida; Poales; Poaceae
Description: 5.8S ribosomal RNA
Source: RNAcentral
CACAYGACUCUCGGCAACGGAUAUCUCGGCUCUCGCAUCGAUGAAGAACGUAGCAAAAUGCGAUACCUGGUGUGAAUUGCAGAAUCCCGUGAACCAUCGAGUUUUUGAACGCAAGUUGCGCYCGAGGCCUUCUGGCUGAGGGCACGUCUGCCUGGGCGUCACGC